GUACACACAGAGCUGGGCACAUGCAACUGCAUAUGCUCAGCUUUGAAAAUCUAGCUCUGGAAAUUUAACUAACUUGGAGAUCCGUUUAAAUUGACACUCUUCAAAAGUAACAGUAUCUGGAAACAUCUGCACCCUUCUUCUAAUAGCCUGGCUUUGUACAUGUGCAAAUACCUGAUUUGCAUGUGCAUUUAAAUUAGGCAGACAUAAAUGUAAGUGUAUUUUACUAGAAUGACCAGAUUUUCAAAGUGAAACACCAGAACACAGAUCAUACCAAUCACAGAGAGGAUAAUUUUGAGUGGGAGCAGGGGCUAAGCAAUGCUGCUAAGCUUCUUGAUUCUGUGUUGAGGCGGUGAGGUAGGUUGAGGUCUCUUUUAGAAUGGGAGGCAAAAAAACUGGGGCACUGGGACCGGCCCUCACAAGAGGGGCAUUCCUAGUUUUCAGGGACACAUGAUAUUUUUAACACAUGAAAACAUGGCCCCUAAUUUCUUUUCUUGAUUGCACUUAAGUGUUUUCAGUAAAGAUGGGCCUAAACCAGAACAUCAGUUCCAGCCUCUUUGAACUUUGGGAAAUUCUAAUCCAGAUCCAAAAUUUACAACUGGAGUCCAACGCCAGUAGUUAGGUUCUGCUUACUCCAUGAAAGCAGAUAAAUUCCAUCAACUCAGCACAGCAAAAAGGGUUGCAUGGAAAUUUUGCUGCAGAGAGUGCUGACACCUUCACAAUCCAAUGGGACACUUCAAUUCCAGUCCAGUGAAAGAGAUUAUCACCUGGAUCUUCACAAGUUACAAUGAAAUCAUCUGGGAUGCAUGAGAUGACACUCUUUGGAUUUGUUCAUCUGGUCAUUCUCAAGGAAGGACCUCAACUCUGGAAUUUACUUCUCCCUUGGUGCAACAGAAUCCAAGUUUGUUGACCCUGCAGGCAGAUUGCAAAAUGUGUCUCGUAACUCAGCCUUUCUCUGAGAUGGGAUGAACUAAGCUGUGGGUGUUCCUUUAUCAAUGGGGCAGGAACUGUCAUUGACUCUAUGUUUUUACAGUGCCUAGCAUAAUAGAAUCCAACUUGAUUGUGCCUUAUAGGCACUACGACUUUAAAAAUGUUAAAUGAUAAUAAAUACUGGCUUUGGGAGCUCUUUUUGAUGUGAGUUUUGAUGCUACGUGUAUGCUAGAUUCUCAGCUGACAUAAUCAGCCUAUCUGCAUUGAAAUCAGUGAAGCUACAUUAAUUUAAACUAGUUAGGGACUUCACCUUGUAUGUCUGGAUGACUACUCUAGU
This is a long non-coding RNA of Gopherus flavomarginatus (Mexican gopher tortoise), 1264 nucleotides long. RefSeq lists it as uncharacterized. NCBI's taxonomy places the organism in Eukaryota, Metazoa, Chordata, Testudines, Testudinidae. The transcript has 3 exons. The record is from RefSeq and is a predicted model, not a curated record.